AACGCGAAGAACCUUACCUGGGCUUGAACCGCACAGGACCAGCUUUAGAAAUAGAGCCUUCCCGCAAGGGACCUGUGUAGAGGUGCUGCAUGGCUGUCGUCAGCUCGUGCCGUGAGGUGUUGGGUUAAGUCCCGCAACGAGCGCAACCCUUACUCGUAGUUGCCACCCGCAAGGGGGAACUCUACGAGGACUGCUCCGGAUAACGGAGAGGAAGGUGGGGAUGAGGUCAAGUCAGCAUGGCCUUUAUGUCCAGGGCUACACACGUGUUACAAUGCGCGCUACAAAGUGUCGCGAACCCGCGAGGGGGAGCUAAUCGCAAAAAAGCGCGCUCAGUUCGGAUUGCAGUCUGCAACUCGACUGCAUGAAGCUGGAAUCGCUAGUAAUGGCGCAUCAGAUCGGCGCCGUGAAUACGUUCCCGGGCCUUGUA
RNAcentral lists this ribosomal RNA (427 nucleotides) under uncultured Acidobacteriota bacterium. RNAcentral's name for it is "bacterial SSU rRNA". It matches the Rfam family "Bacterial small subunit ribosomal RNA", at positions 958 to 1385 of the family's 1533-position model. The record is from RNAcentral. Lineage: Bacteria; Pseudomonadati; Acidobacteriota.